Molecule: ribosomal RNA, 450 nt
Filed under: uncultured bacterium
Lineage: Bacteria
Description: partial 16S ribosomal RNA
Rfam family: Bacterial small subunit ribosomal RNA
Source: RNAcentral
GUGGGGAAUAUUCCGCAAUGGACGAAAGUCUGACGGAGCAACGCCGCGUGAGUGAUGAAGGUUUUCGGACUGUAAAGCUCUGUUGUUUGGGACGAAAGUGCCUGUUGCGAACAGUUACGGGUAUUGACGGUACUAAACGAGGAAGCCACGGCUAACUACGUGCCAGCAGCCGCGGUAAUACGUAGGUGGCAAGCGUUGUCCGGAAUUAUUGGGCGUAAAGAGUAUGUAGGCGGGAAUCUAAGUCUGUUGUUAAAAUGCGGGGCUCAACCCCGUAUUGCGAUGGAAACUGGGGUACUUGAGUGCAGGAGAGGAAAGGGGAAUUCCCAGUGUAGCGGUGAAAUGCGUAGAUAUUGGGAGGAACACCAGUGGCGAAGGCGCCUUUCUGGACUGUGUCUGACGCUGAGAUGCGAAAGCCAGGGUAGCGAACGGGAUUAGAAACCCCUGUAGUCC